AAGUUUCUAAUUUAACCCCAGCCUCUUACAACAAAAGGUUUGGCAUAAGAAAACUGCUACAUCUUUCCUUGCAUAUAUUUUAUUUCUUUCCCACCCACUCCCUUUUGUGGUUUUCUUUCUUUUUCUUUAAGUAGCACCCGAGUCCCAGUGAGCAUUUUAGUGAGCCUAGUCACUUAGAAAUACAAAAUGAGCCUAAUAAUCUAUGCAAAGGAAAAGGAAUGAAUAAAAGUUCUCAAGAAAGGCUAGAUUUGUUACACAGACAUUCCUGGUAGCCUGUCUUCAUGAGAGCUAUCUUAUUUCACAGCACAGUGUUGCUAUUUUGUUAAUGAUUCUUUCAAAGAAUUUAGGAUCUUAGAGACUUUUAAGGAUCAUUAAAAUGCUAAAAUGUGUUCUGCAGCACGUUUUAAAUAGGCAAGGCAAUGUUUGGCUUUCAUCAUCUAAGUGCUGAACUUUUUGCCCCCAUAUCUAAGUUGUUAAAUGUGUAAAAGUGAUAUAGAAUUGCCACUCCAUUUAUGCAGCUUAGUGGUAAGACGGGUAGAUACAAUGCACUGGGCACAGUAAUUGCUGUUUUGCAGUUGUUAGAAAGCACUUACAGUGAGAAGUAAUUGCACCUUGGUGUUGAAUUGAUCAGUUGUAAUAUGCUUAAUUUUAUAGUAAGAAGUAUUCUGGGUCUUUUGAAAGUAAAAAUCUGAAUGCAUAAAAUUAAAAUGUCUUUUAGUAAGUGAUGUUUUGCCACCCAUAUUAAUGUUUUGUAGUAUAAACCUCACAGUGAGUAGGAGGAGUAUUUCAGAAGUCAUGGUUGUUUUAAAAAAUGUCAUUUAUUUCUUUGUAAAGACAACUUAUGGUGAUCUUCCAAAUUUGCAAAAUUAGCUAAUUAAGCAAAUCUCACUACAUAUGUUAGGUGAAAAUGUAAAAUGAAUGGAGUGAAAGUGGAAAGACUAAAGAUCCCUAAUUCUCCCCUGAGCCUGUGUCUCUUCCCAGUGCACAAUGAGGCCUACUGUUUCACCUGUUCAAUUUUUCUAACUUUUUUUUUUUUUACUUCUUCAAUCUUUUCUAUGAUAACCUUACCUUAUACUUACUUAUCUGCAUAUGAAAUACUUCCUUUACUGAGUUGUUUCCAUUUUGUGUCCUUUACUGUUCAUCUUCUUGCUUUUCUGCUAUCUAACCCUGCAGCAGUCCCAAACCUUCACAGAAAGGCUGCUGACAAGAAGGCAGCUGCAGAGAGUCACAUGAGCUUUCUCAGUUGGCCACUGCACCUGGCUCCCUGCACAAAAUGAUUGGGCUUGACCACUGCUCUGUGGCACUUUGCUUUCUAUAGCCUUGUCAAGGUGCUUUCCGUUUUUUUCAGUGCACUAUUGAUGUAUCGGUUAGAUAUGGCAGAGGUCCAGGAAGAUGUGGUGAAAGCCAUCACAAGUGGCAAAACUGAUGAGCCACAGCUAAAGGGCAAAAAAGUAGAUUUUAAAAAAUGUCCAAGCUUCUUUAGUAACUCAGGAUAUUAAAGCAUUUAAUUUUCUAUCUCAGAAUAAGGAUCUUAGUUAUAUGAUUUUAAACAUUACUAAUAUCAUUGAGGUAUAUUUACGCAAAUCUACUUUGUUGUAAGAAACUGAUCUUCAUUAAAUGUCUAUGCUAUGAAAAAACUAUAAGUUAUAAAUUUAUUUUGAUACCUGUCUCUUUCUAAAGAUAUGCUAGAAGGAGAAUCCUAGGUAAUUUAGUCACUUUUAACAACUAAAAAUUGCCAGCUUUGUCUUACACGUUUUUGUUGCUGUUGUUGUUGUUGAAAAAUAAGAUAUUUAUCCAUCAUGCAUGGCAAACUAUUAAAUAUAAAUUUAUAAAUAAAAUAGCUAAAAUGAUCAGUAUUUUAAAGAUAAUAGGCAAAGCAUAUCAUGUAUUAUGUUAAACCAUUGGACGAUAACAGCAUCUGCCAGAGAAAUCUUAAUUUUCAUGAACUAGAGAUCUUUUCUUAAUUUCAGUAACAUUUCAGAUGUUGGCAAAUAAAGAUUUGACUUAUAAAUAAAGGGAAUUCACUUCAGUUGUUUACAAAUAUUUGUUCAAGCUUCUGACGAAUCUAUGAGAUAUAUUCUGAUAACGUAAGGAGACUUAUAAUUGGAAAAUAUAUAGAAGUCAAUAUACUGAAAGAAAGUGAACAACGCUGUAGGCAUUUUGAGCGGUGAUAAGAUGAAAUAGAAUUUUGAUGUGCAUUUUUUUAUUUACUAAUGUUAAUUGUAAUGAUAAAUAUCUGGCCCUGGCCUAUUCUUAUAACUAUAGUUAAUAUCUCUGAAAUACUUUGAGAUACUUAGAAAGAUGGCUAGAAAUUUUCUCAAAAAAUGAAUUUUGUUUUCUUUAAAUUUGUUUUGUCACACAUACUGAAGGUUGAUUAGAAGCAGUAUCGUUUUGAAAGGAGCACAUAUUAAAUACACUUCUAAUUCCCUGAAGCAGGACCACCUACUGCUACUGAGUAAAAUAUAAAUAUGUGUGUCUUAAAAUGUACCUGAGUCUAUCUUUUUAAAACAGGCAGUCCCUCAUAUCAGCUGUCAUUGCAAAAUAGCUUAUUCCUGAGGCCUGGAAAGAAAUGAUUGGAAAUAACGAUUGCAAGUGAAAUUACAUAUUUUAAGACAUUUAGUGUUUGUCCUCAAUAGUAUUUGAAUACUGAAUAAUAAACAAAUGCCAAGUAGUAUU
This 2676-nucleotide long non-coding RNA is filed under the name Mus musculus (house mouse). RNAcentral describes it as "long non-coding RNA chr3:45385482-45388158". The record is from RNAcentral. Lineage: Eukaryota; Metazoa; Chordata; Mammalia; Rodentia; Muridae.